AAAAAAAAAAAAAAAAAUAGUUUAUUAUUUUGAGCAAGUGCUAAAAUUUCUCAAAAAUCUCAACAUAGAAAGAGUUAAAAUAAAAGCACUUCAAAUACCCAAGGGGUGUCUAAUUUUUUAAAAAAAUGGCUUGAUGGGAUAAAUUGGAGUGGCUGGGCUCAAAGAUAGGGCAUAGGUACAGACUGACCAAAAUGGAGAAAAAAGUGCACUUCCCAAAUGUGGCAUUUUAAAUCUCAAACAACAUGGCAAACCCAUGCAUGUGGGGUAUCGCUGCAUUCGGGAGAUGUUGCUGAACACACAUUGGGGGGUUGUUUGAUAGUGACUCAUACCAGGAGCUAUGAAUUCCUGAAGUACAAUUUGUGUGGGAAAAAAAAAUACAAAAUUAAGUUUUGGCAAAGGCAGGUGGUAGAAUCUCAUGCAUAAAAGGGUUAAAAUACCAGCAUUUGAAAUGCCCUGGGGUGUCUAUUUUUCAAAAA
Long non-coding RNA from Spea bombifrons (plains spadefoot toad), 476 nucleotides. RefSeq lists it as uncharacterized. The record is from RefSeq and is a predicted model, not a curated record. NCBI's taxonomy places the organism in Eukaryota, Metazoa, Chordata, Amphibia, Anura, Pelobatidae. The transcript is spliced from 2 exons.